Molecule: long non-coding RNA, 2828 nt
Filed under: Equus caballus (horse)
Lineage: Eukaryota; Metazoa; Chordata; Mammalia; Perissodactyla; Equidae
Description: lncRNA (ENSECAG00000047696.1)
Source: RNAcentral
CCUACCCUUUUCUAGGAACUGGGUACGGCCCGUGUCCUCCCCCGAGGCUGGGCAGGGACGUCAGCCCCAGGCCGAGCUCGCCUUCAGUGUUCAGCUCGGAGACUGACAGAUAAUAACACUUCCUGCAGGCGUCCAGCACUUCAACUAGCGCAUCCGGCCAGAUAGAUGGGAAUCCAGCCUUGAUUAAGGGUGGGGCUAUGCUCUUGAUUUCUUGGUAUCUCACGAUGAAAUGAGAGAGUGUGGGCCACCAAGGACGCUUUUCCCUCGCCCGGUUAACUGUUCAGCAGAAAUCUGUGGAGCAUCUAAUCGCGGCACGAACUUCCAGAGAGAGCCAGGCCCUGAACGUCGCCACCCUGGCUCCGUCCCUCUCAGACCCUGCAGUCACGCCUCUAGAAGUAAUUUUCCCCCAAACCUGCUCAGAGCUGCUCUCCUGAAAAAGGAAACAUUUUUCUCCCCUUCCAGGGACAGCCCCAUCCCGCCAGAUUUCUCAGAAGAGUAUUGGGCUCCUGACCCACUCCUCGCCCGCCUGGGUGCAGGCCUGUCCGGCCCCUCUGAGGCCGGCUUCCGCCCAGCAUCCCUCCCCAAGGUCACCAGUGACCCCGCUGCCGAGCCCCAGCAGUCUCUUCUGGUCUUCACCGCAUCAGCUCUGGGGCUUUUGUGGAGGCUCUUGCAGCCCUUGCUUCUGGAAUUUCUUGGUUCCUGUAAAGCUGCUCCUCCGUGGGUCCCCUCCCUCCCGGACCUCGGCUUCUCCUGGUCUCUCCUCCCUCCUCCGCAGUAAGUGCCCUAUGUCAGUGGAUGGAAAGGCAACACCAACGGGGCCAGGAAGGCAAACAAAAUGAUGGAAGUGGCUGACUGCGCGCUUCAGACACAAACACACGUUGGUUGUUACAUAGUAACAGUAGAUGACACCUGGGGACUAUUUAACAAGUGCCCACGGCUGCUGUGAGCACUUUACCAUGUGUUACUUCUCAUAACAAUGCUUUGAGGUGGCUACUAUUAUUACUGCCAUUUUCCAGAUAGGAAGCCAGGCGCAGAGAGGUUGAGUAACUUGCCUGAGGUCAUACAGCUUGACGUGGCAGAGCCCCAGUUUGAACCCAGGGCCUCUGGCUCCAGAGUGUGUGAGCAGGAUGCCCCUUCGCCCCAACCUAGACGCUCCCUUCUCCUCACCACGCCCAUUUUGCCAAAUCAUAGGCAUUUACCAGUAAUUUUUCCCCAGUGUCUUAAGCAGACAAUAUGUUAAUCUCCUUGCAGGAUCUGGUGGUAGAAAUCCUGCCCCUUUGGACAAUUCGCUAAAAUUUGCAGUGUAUGGACCCUCUGACGCAGCCAUUUCCUCCUGGGUUACUGUUGUAGAGAAACACUGUGUCCAAGGGGACAAGCAGGAUGUUCGUGACAGCAGUGCUCCUAAUAAUGGAAAAUCGGAAGCAACCUGAGGGUCCACCCACAGAGGAAUGAAAAAGAAAUCUUGCCUAUUUCUAUCACAGAUUACGUGCAGCAGGGUCAAGAAGGAAAUAGAUCUGUUAGUGGCGACUAGUGGCGACAUGGAAAGACCUGUGACUUACGUUACAGAGGGGAAGAAAGCAAGUUGCAGAGUGAUACCCACGCUAUUCCUGCAUUCCACAGAUAUUUUUGGGGCUUCUGCUCCACAACUGACACUGUUCUAGACACUGGGAAUACAGCAGUGAACAAAACGCGCUCCCUACCCUGGCUGAGCUGACGUCCCACCAGGGGGAGGGCAGAGGCAGGAAUAAAUGGUGGUAAGUACAAUGAAGAGAGACAGAAAGGGGGAUGGUUUCCCAUUUCUGUAAAAAGAAUCACCACAAAAUAAUACUAUGUGUUUUCUAUGGGUAUUUAUUUAUGUAUAUAAAUGCACUAAAAAAGGUCUGCAAGGAAGCACCCCAAACUGCUGACAGUCUGUUCUGCGGGAGCAGUGGGUGCUGGGUGGCUGUCCAAAGGCACUUCAGCUUUACGGGAGGAUAUACCCAUGUAUUUCUUGUGUAAUGAAAAAUUAAUGAUAGUAAGCAACUGGAAGCCUCCGACAGUGCUGCUGGAAAUAUAAAAUGGUACAACCACUUCGGAAAACUGUUGGUAAUUUCUUAUGAAAGCUGAACACGUGACUCGGCAAUCCUACUCCUAAGUAUUUGCUUAAGAAAAAUGAAAACCUGUGUCCACACGCAGACUGGCCCACCAAUGUUUACAGUGGCGUCAUUCAUACGGGUCCCAAAGUGGAGCCAACCUGAAAGACCAUCACGGGGUGCUGGGUGAACACGGAGUACAUCCUUGCCCUAGAGCGCUACUCAGCAAUGAAAAGGAGCAGGCCACUGAGACGUGGAUGAACCUGAAAGCAUCACACUGAGUGAAGGAAGCCAGGCGGCAAAGUGCACACACCAUAUGACUCCAAUUACAUGACAGACAAAACGAAUCUGCGCUGAUGGAAAUCAGAAGGACGGCUGCCUGUGGGGGUCAUGGGCGGACUGGAAGCGGACCUGAGGGAACCUUCCGGGAUGAUGGGAACGAUCUCGAUUUUCGUUGGAGGGGUGUACACAGAGUGCAGGCAUUUGUCAAGAUUCAUUGAAUCAUACGCCUCAGAUCUGUGCCUUUCAGUGUAAGUAAUUUUACCUUGAUAAUAAUAAUAAAAUAACCACCAAAGACGGGGAGGAAUGCUCUGACCUGCUAGGAGUGUUCAUUUCUAAAUCGUGGAAAGGUAGGUGAUUUUCAUUUUCUUCUAUAUGCUCACCUGGGUUGUUUGAAGGCUUCAGCAAUGCACAUGUAUUCCUUUUGUGAUCAGAAGAAAAAAAUGUAAAAGAUCUUAUGGCCUAUACAUCUAUGAA